Molecule: long non-coding RNA, 4653 nt
Organism: Cucurbita moschata (crookneck pumpkin)
Lineage: Eukaryota; Viridiplantae; Streptophyta; Magnoliopsida; Cucurbitales; Cucurbitaceae
Exons: 4
Source: RefSeq, a predicted model, not a curated record
UUUCAUGUCUGACCGGCUUAGACAUGAUAUUUCUGAAACGUCAUACUCUCUAUAAAUACAAAGUUGUAAAACACUGAAUAUGAAAAGACAUAAAGGGUUGGGCUUGUCAUGGGCAUGCGGCCAUGGGCAACACGCCUUGGACGAGCAUGACCGUGACACUCAUCAUCGGUGUCAGAAUCGUCGGCACUUUCUUCUCAAGCUAUGGUCUUCCACUUUCUCCUUCCUAAGUUCCAACUCCCUUUGACGCGGUACUCUGAUCACCAAUGAUCCAAUUGCACUGUCAACCAUUGGCUCGUCGGAAUUGUUGACCAGAAAAUUUCCCCCCUCUUCCAAACCAGUCGACAGUGUUUCCUCCUCUGAUCUUACCAUCAAUUUGUUCUGCAGCCCUUGGGAUUGAAUCUUUAACCCAUCAACGGAGAGACUUUGUAAUCUUCAAUCUCUGGUGGCUAUUUUCUAUUACCGCAGCAGCUGUUAUCCCCAUUCAAUUCUCUCCCACAUGGGGCGGUGAAUGUGUUAUAAUCCAAUCUGGACAGAUGCCUAGUUUGGUCUGUUUUUAAACGAGGUUCAUUUGUUCCAAAUCAGAACGAGGAACAACUUCGUUCAUUCAUUCUAGAUCUGGAACGAGGGGCGUCCCUUGUCUUAGAUAGCCUUGUUUACUAUGAAGCGUUCCAGAUCAUUAAUUCCUCAUUCAAGUGGUUUGUUCCAUUUUGAUUGCUUUGGAAGUAGCAGCAAUAAGAGAGUUUGCAGAUAGGAGAAGGAAAAAGGGAGAGAGGUCGGAAGAAGACGUGCUUCAUAUUUUCUGGGAUUCUUAAUUUAUACUUUUCAAGAUCAUGUCUGAAAGCAAUAGCUCUUCUCAAAGUGAGCUUGAAGAGUUUGGCCGUUCAAAGCGGCAUAAGAAGAAUGGUAGAACGAAAACGGUAGAUGUUUUUACACAACAUUUCUUUUCCUAUUUGGCUUUGUAGUUUCACUUGUGGAUUUCUCCUUGUUAUUGUUACUAUUUGUGCAUCGAUAAGAAGAGGGAGCGAAGUUAGAAACAUCACCAUGAAAGGCGUAAGCAUAAGGCUAAAGAGGUAGACCACUAUUGUGCUUGUGUACUAUUUUUCCCUUUGUUGCUGAUAAUGUUGUAAUUUCGAUGAAUUGAGAAAUGCCAUGGAAAUAACCUCUAUGUAUGUUAGAUUUAUGGAUACAUGAAUUUGUGGGAUGCAUGUACAUGUGAGAUCCAUGUACUUAGUUAAUAAUUGAAGAGUCAUGAGAGUCAGAUUCAUUUGGUUGAUACAUGUAUUAGAUUAUUCAUGUAUCACCAUAAUGAUAAUACAUGUAUUAUAUAGACUUGUUAUUUAAUAUUUGGUACAUGUAUGACUAUGGAGGAUAUUUCAAAAGGCUUGACAACUUUAAAAUAGAAUACAUCUCUUCCUCAUAAUUGUCCAUAAAACUGGUAUUAGAGCCAAGUUAACUAUGACUUCAUCUAGUUCAAUUCAUACCCAUGUCCCCUUAACAAAACAGAUUAUGGUUAAUAGAGUAUCCAAAUAGAAGCCUGGUUGGGACCUAUUGGAGCAUGGGACCAAUUAUAGUAAAUAGAAUGGAGGCCUUGUUGGGAUCUAUGAGAGCAUGGGACACAGUGGUGUAUGAGUUCAAGGAGGAGGAGAUGAAGAAGGAGAAGAAGGCGUUAUUCACAAUCCACCAAAGAGUAGAUGGCACCACGUUUGAGUUGAUCGUCCAUGCAAAAUCUUCUGAGAAUGCUUGGGAGGUCUGGAGAAAGACUUUGAUGGUUUAGAUAGAGUGAAGAAAAUCUGCUUGCAAUAUUUACCCGUAGAUUUUGAGGCUCUACAUCAAGAAGAUUCAACAUCAAUAUGUGUUUACUUCCAUUGUGUAAACUCCAUUGUGUAAGAAAUGAGAAGACAUGACGAGAAGGUAGAAGAAGUACGAGUUGUGGAGAAGAUUAUGUGAUUUUUACACUCAAGGUUUGACUACAUUGCUGUGGAAGUUGAAGAAUCUAAUAAACUUGAAGAAAUAUUAGUAGAGGAGCUUCAAGACUCUAUACAAGUCUAUGAAGAAAGAGGCUUAGAGAAAGAAGAAAGAAGACGUAUGGAGCAAGCACUGCAAGCCAACUCUUCCCAAAAGAUGGAUGGCUAGCCAACUCUUCCCAAAAGAAGGAUGGCUUCUCGAAAGGAGGCUACCUUGAGUAAGGGUAGCCUUGGUGGUCAAAAUGGAGGACGAGGUGGUUGCAAUAAGUAAUCUAAUUUAUGAAAUAGCAAUCACAUUGAUGAUAGUAAAGGGAAUAGUCAUAGGAGCAAUGAGGCGUGUGCUUGAGGUCUGGUCGUGGAUGGGUCCUUGUCGACCAUGUCCAUGACUGCGGCCUCGGCUAGGCACCUCAUAGCUUCCACGACCAUUCCCUUUACUAUCAUCGGUAUGGUUGCUGCUUUGUUCAUUAGAGUGGUUAUCGUGACCAUCUCGUUCUUCCUUUUGGCCACCACGUUUACCUCUUCAUAAACUUGUAGAGGGCCUUGAGGCUCCUUCGCUGAUAUCUUCUCAAGAGUAUGAGAUUCUUUAAUUGUCACGACAAUAGAGUCAACUUUGAGUGUAAAGAUUCCAGGAUUUUCUCCACAAAUUGUACUUCUACCUUCUCCCCAUGUCUCCAUUUAUUACCCUAGUUUAUAUAGUAGAAGUAAUCACAAAUUGAUUCCGAACCUUUUUGUUGUAGGGCUUCGAAAUCUGCUAGCAAGGCUUUCUCCAAUACCUCUUAAGCUUUCUUGUGCAUAGUGCCUUCUUCUCCUUCUUCAUCUCCUCCUUGAAUCCAUUCAUCAUCGCGUCCCAUGCUCCCGAAGAUCCCAACAAGGCCUCCAUUUGGAUACUCUAUUUACCAUAAUUAACUUGAUGAAGUCAUAUUUAACUUAGCUUUGAUACCAAUUUUGUUAUCUUUUAUAGGUUUUUUGGAACAUCCUCCAUGCCAUACAUAUACCAAAUACUAAAUAACGAAUUUACCUAAUACUUGUACUAUCGUUAUAGUGAUAUAUGAAUAAUCUAAUACAUGUAUCAAUCAAAUGAAUCUAACGCCCAUGACUUUUCAAUUAUUAACCAAGUACAUGGAUCUCUAAUGUACAUAUAUCUCCCCAAUUUAUGUAUCCAUAAAUACAUGAAACAAGUUUAAUAUCUUACUGCUUUUACUCGUAUUUACAUCCUUUUGAUUAUUACUUCAGAACCCUUUUGAUUUAUUACUUCAGAACCCUUUUGAUUUAUUACUUCAGAACAUAUUGUGAUUGGAGAUCUAGCUUCUAACACAUGCAUCCAAUGUCUUAGAUUUUUGCUUCAAUGUAUUUUUAGUCUUUGGUAGGCCUGAUUUAUCCCAACGCAAUAGUGUAAGACAUGUACCUUUGUAUAUUUUAAGAAUGGGCAUCAAGAUAAUAUUAGUUUUCUAAUCAUUACUUGAGGCAUAAAGACUCCAAGCAUCAUGUAUAAAAGUUCUAAACCACUUAUAAUCUAAAGAAGGCGUAAGCUUUGAGGCUAAAAAAUUUGAGCCAUUCUAAGACAAGCCCUUUAGACUGAGGCUGAAAGUAUCGAUCUAUUUGCCAAAUGAUCUUAUUGUUUCUAGUCCUGCAAUCUUUAGAAUGCAUCUAUAGUUGGUUUUGUUUUUGGAGUGGUUUCUGAAUUGGAUAUAAUAUGAGAUGUUUCUGUGAUCAUUUACUGAUUGAUUCUUUGAAAUUGGAGUUGGGGUCCGUGUCAUGAUGAUCGGGCUGUUCCAAGGAACCAUAAGAGAAGUAUAGAAACAGCCAGAAGAGAGUAGUAGCCCUGUGCAGCUUUCCAAGUUUUUAUCGCGGGAGAAGGAUGAUGGUACUCGGCGGAGUGCUGUCUCUGGCAAAAAGAUUUUGUUGAAACUUGACAAAUCAAAGGAAGACAAAGCAGAGGAAAACAGAAGAAAUGAAUUGCUGAAAUUCUUGAACUCUAGCUUUGACUAAUGGCUGUGUAUUAAGAAUGGAGGAAAGAGGCAUUAUUAGCUGCUGCAUGGAAAAAUUUCAGUUCAAUCAACAGUUGUGUGACAUUCAAGCCUGUGAACUUUCUUCUCCCUUUGAUGCUUUGAUGUUUGAUGCUUUGAUGCAUAUGGAUCAAGAUCUUGUUUUAAUUCCUUAUGGACAGGAAUUGAAAUUGAAAUGGAAAUGGAAAAUGACUUACUUUGUUUGAUGGGAUGGAAUGGGAUGAUGAAUGAUUGAUUGUUAGUUCUUAUGAUCCGAUUGUGUAAAACGCUCAAGCGCUGCCUCCUUGCCAAGGCAUUGUUUUUACAAUGUUCACUAAAAAAGUUUCAUGACAAUCUCUCCAUUGCCCUCCUUCCACGCCGUGUUGCAGCUGAGAGACCACUUAUGGCAGGAGGAGGGUCGAUCUCGUAGGGUUGAGAUCGAACCAACUGAUAGUCGACAAGUGAUACUAACAUCCAGUGACUAUCACGGUCAUGUUUAUCCAAGACGUGUUGUCCAAGUUGCACGUCCAUUACAUGCCAAAACUCUUGCCUAGUAACUUUAUCGCUUUCCUUUAUUGCUUUCAUGGUGUAUGAUUUUCUUGUCUUUUUUUAAGUGAUGUCUUGGCAGAAACUUGUCUAGGCACGGUAGACAUGAAAUGCUCUACAAUGUACUGUAGGGGGACGCGACUAGUCAUCAACUUCUC